RNAcentral lists this ribosomal RNA (1123 nucleotides) under Cychramus interamericae. RNAcentral's name for it is "SSU rRNA". It matches the Rfam family "Eukaryotic small subunit ribosomal RNA", at positions 50 to 1115 of the family's 1831-position model. Lineage: Eukaryota; Metazoa; Arthropoda; Insecta; Coleoptera; Nitidulidae. The record is from RNAcentral.
CAUGCAUGUCUCAGUACAAGCCAAAUUAAGGUGAAACCGCGAAAGGCUCAUUAAAUCAGUUAUGGUUCCUUAGAUCGUACCACAUUUACUUGGAUAACUGUGGUAAUUCUAGAGCUAAUACAUGCAAACAGAGCUCCAACCAGAGAUGGAAGGAGCGCUUUUAUUAGAUCAAAACCAAUCGGUGGCGGGUUCGCUCGUCAUCGUAUAACUUGGUGACUCUGAAUAACUUUAAGCUGAUCGCACGGUCUUGCACCGGCGACGCAUCUUUCAAAUGUCUGCCUUAUCAACUGUCGAUGGUAGGUUCUGCGCCUACCAUGGUUGUAACGGGUAACGGGGAAUCAGGGUUCGAUUCCGGAGAGGGAGCCUGAGAAACGGCUACCACAUCCAAGGAAGGCAGCAGGCGCGCAAAUUACCCACUCCCGGCACGGGGAGGUAGUGACGAAAAAUAACGAUACGGGACUCAUCCGAGGCCCCGUAAUCGGAAUGAGUACACUCUAAACCCUUUAACGAGGAUCAAUUGGAGGGCAAGUCUGGUGCCAGCAGCCGCGGUAAUUCCAGCUCCAAUAGCGUAUAUUAAAGUUGUUGCGGUUAAAAAGCUCGUAGUCGAAUCUGUGUCCCGCGCCGCCGGUUCAUCGUCCGCGGUGUUAACUGGCGUGUCGCGGGACGUCCUGCCGGUGGGCUUAGCCCGCAAGGGCGGCCCAACUCAAUCCCACCGUGGUGCUCUUUACUGAGUGUCGGGGUGGGCCGGCACGUUUACUUUGAACAAAUUAGAGUGCUUAAAGCAGGCUAAAACUUCGCCUGAAUACUGUGUGCAUGGAAUAAUGGAAUAGGACCUCGGUUCUAUUUUGUUGGUUUUCGGAACCCCGAGGUAAUGAUUAAUAGGAACGGAUGGGGGCAUUCGUAUUGCGACGUUAGAGGUGAAAUUCUUGGAUCGUCGCAAGACGGACAGAAGCGAAAGCAUUUGCCAAAAACGCUUUCAUUGAUCAAGAACGAAAGUUAGAGGUUCGAAGGCGAUCAGAUACCGCCCUAGUUCUAACCAUAAACGAUGCCAGCUAGCAAUCCGCAAACGUUCCUCCGAUGACUUUGCGGGCGGCUUUUCGGGAAACCAAAGCUUUUGGGUUCC